Molecule: ribosomal RNA, 632 nt
Filed under: Trochulus hispidus complex sp. 476 LK-2014
Lineage: Eukaryota; Metazoa; Mollusca; Gastropoda; Stylommatophora; Hygromiidae
Description: partial 12S ribosomal RNA
Source: RNAcentral
GAUUUUGUUACGGUCCUUUAUUGACAGAACGUUUCUUGACAAUGGAUUUUUAAGAAGUGCCAGUUACGAAAUUUUGCAAUUGUUGAGAAAUCAAGCACAAGAAUCCGUUUUUCCUAGGGCUAAGAUAGUGCCAGCAGCCGCGGUCAUACUACCCUAGGGAGUAAAUAAGAGAAGUGGAUUGAAGCUAUCUGAAAUAUAUCACAAUAGUAAAAUAUGUUCUAUACGGUAUCUAACAUUAGACCAAUAAUAUAAACAAAUACCAACUCCAAACAAGGAUUAGAUACCCUUCUAUGGUGUACGAAAAAAUAUUCACUGGGUAUUAAAGUUUAUUACCUAAACUCAAAUAACAUGGCGGUAAUUUUAAAGCUUAGGGGAACUUACCUAGUAAAUGAUAAUCACCAAGAUAUACUACUUUAAGUCAGAUUUUGUAUGCCGUCGUCUAGAUUAAAUACUAUAUUUAAUCUUUAGUUAUACCCAACCUAUGACAGAUCUAGGUGCAGACUAUCUUAAAGAUUUAAGGCGAGUUACAUUAAAGAUUUUUUUCUAUCUGGCAAAAUAAAUUAACCUAUUUAGUUGGACUUAAUAGUAAGGAUUAUAUUAUAAAUACUACCUGAACGAUAAUAAAAUUGUGC